This 253-nucleotide ribosomal RNA is filed under the name uncultured bacterium. RNAcentral's name for it is "partial 16S ribosomal RNA". It matches the Rfam family "Bacterial small subunit ribosomal RNA", at positions 524 to 776 of the family's 1533-position model. The record is from RNAcentral.
UACAGAGGUCUCAACCGUUGUUCGGAUUCAUUGGGCGUAAAGGGUGCGUAGGCGGCGCGGUAAGUCGGGUGUGAAAUCUCGGGGCUUAACUCCGAAACUGCAUUCGAUACUGCCGUGCUUGAGGACUGGAGAGGAGACUGGAAUUUACGGUGUAGCGGUGAAAUGCGUAGAUAUCGUAAGGAAGACCAGUGGCGAAGGCGGGUCUCUGGACAGUUCCUGACGCUGAGGCACGAAGGUCAGGGGAGCAAACGGG